AAUAAUCUAAAGGCGAGUAAUAGGAGACAAUUAAAAUAAUUCAUCCUAACCCAUAUAAAUAAUUAGAUUUCAUCUAAUUACUCAACAUGGCUUAUGCACUUUUCAAAAACUUGGCCCUUGCCAAAAAUCCAUUCUCGGGGAUACCCCGCGAAGGCAUCUUACCGAGACCGCCAAGGCUGUUUAUUGUCACACACACAAACACAUUUCACCUCUCACAACAC
This 221-nucleotide long non-coding RNA is filed under the name Theobroma cacao (cacao). RNAcentral's name for it is "long non-coding RNA (TCAC_LNC001221)". The record is from RNAcentral. Lineage: Eukaryota; Viridiplantae; Streptophyta; Magnoliopsida; Malvales; Malvaceae.